This 232-nucleotide ribosomal RNA is filed under the name uncultured bacterium. RNAcentral describes it as "partial 16S ribosomal RNA". It matches the Rfam family "Bacterial small subunit ribosomal RNA", at positions 15 to 248 of the family's 1533-position model. The record is from RNAcentral.
GAUCCUGGCUCAGAUUGAACGCUGGCGGCAGGCCUAACACAUGCAAGUCGAGCGGAUGAAGAGAGCUUGCUCUCUGAUUCAGCGGCGGAUGGGUGAGUAAUGCCUAGGAAUCUGCCUGAUAGUGGGGGACAACGUUUCGAAAGGAACGCUAAUACCGCAUACGUCCUACGGGAGAAAGCAGGGGGACCUUCGGGCCUUGCGCUAUCAGAUGAGCUUAGGUCGGAUUAGCUAG